UGCACGUCUCAGUGCGAACCGAGACUCAUGGUGAAACCGCGAAUGGCUCAUUAAAUCAGUUGUGGUUCAUUCGGCGCAUCACCUGUACCUACUUGGAUAACCGUGGCAAUUCUAGAGCUAAUACAUGCCCGGAGGCCCCGACCGAGGGUUCGGAAGGGGCGCUCUUAUUAGACCAAAACCAAUCGGCCCGGAAGCUGGCCGUCACCCCGUGUGGCGGACCGGCGUCUCCGCGGUCGUUAUUCUUGGUGACUCUGAAUAAACCCGUAGAUCGCACGGUCCGAGUACCGGCGACGCACCUUUCAAAUGUCUGCCUUAUCAACUUUCGAUGGUAGGCUCCGCGCCUACCAUGGUUGUAACGGGUUACGGGGAAUCAGGGUUCGAUUCCGGAGAGGGAGCCUGAGAAACGGCUACCACAUCCAAGGAAGGCAGCAGGCGCGCAAAUUACCCACUCCCGGCACGGGGAGGUAGUGACGAAAAAUAACGAUACGGGACUCAUCCGAGGCCCCGUAAUCGGAAUGAGAACACUUUAAAUCCUUUAUCGAGGACCCAUUGGAGGGUAAGUCUGGUGCCAGCAGCCGCGGUAAUUCCAGCUCCAAUAGCGUAUAUUAAAGUUGUUGCGGUUAAAAAGCUCGUAGUCGGACCUGUGUCCCACGCUGCCGGUUCACAGCCCGUCUGUGUUUAACUGGCACGCACGUGCGGACGUCCUGUCGGCGGGCCGAGCGAGCGCGCUAAGCGCGAGGGUGUCGUCACAGCGGCUCGCGGCGGGCGUCCCGGUAACACGGGCUCCGUCCGUCCGCGCGUCGCAGCGCCCCUCGUGCCGCGCGUCUUCGGGAGGCCCUCCCUUUUUUACCCGACCGUGUGCCUUUGACCGGGUGCCCGGCCGGGCCGGCACUGUUACUUUGAACAAAUUAGAGUGCUUAAAGCAGGUACGUCCCGCCUGAAUACCGGUUGCAUGGAAUAACGUAAAAGGACCUCGGUUCUAUUUUGUUGGUUUUCGGAAGUCCGAGGUAAUGAUCAAUAGGGACGGCCGGGGGCAUUCGUAUUGCGGCGUUAGAGGUGAAAUUCUUGGAUCGUCGCAAGACGGACUAAAGCGAAAGCAUUUGCCAAGAAUGUUUUCUCUGAUCAAGAACGAAAGUUAGAGGCUCGAAGGCGAUCAGAUACCGCCCUAGUUCUAACCAUAAACGAUGCCAGCUCGCAUUUCGCCGCAGUUCCUCCGAUGACUCGGCGGGCGGCCCACGGGAAACCAAAGCUCUUGGGUUCCGGGGGUAGUAUGGUUGCAAAGCUGAAACUUAAAGGAAUUGACGGAAGGGCACCACCAGAACUGGAGCCUGCGGCUCAAUUUGACUCAACACGGGAAAUUUCACCAGGCCCAGACACCGGAAGGAUUGACAGAUUGAGAGCUCUUUCUUGAUUCGGUGCGUGGUGGUGCAUGGCCGUUCUUAGUUGGUGGAGCGAUUUGUCUGGUUUAUUCCGUUAACGAACGAGAUUCUAACCUGCUAACUAGUCGCCCGGUAUCCACUGAGCUACCGGCGAUUUAAAAUCUUCUUAGAGGGACAGGCGGCGUCUAGUCGCACGAGAUUGAGUAAUAACAGGUCUGUGAUGCCCUUAGAUGUUCUGGGCCGCACGCGCGCUACACUGAAGGAAUCAGCGUGUUUUCCCUGUCCGAGAGGUCCGGGUAACCCGUUGAAACUCCUUCGUGCUAGGGAUUGGGGCUUGUAAUUUUUCCCCAUGAACGAGGAACUCCCAGUAAGCGCGAAUCAUUAGUUCGCGCUGAUUACGUCCCUGCCCUUUGUACACACCGCCCGUCGCUACUACCGAUUGAAUGAUUUAGUGAGGUC
RNAcentral lists this ribosomal RNA (1838 nucleotides) under Beybienkonus acuticercus. RNAcentral's name for it is "SSU rRNA". It matches the Rfam family "Eukaryotic small subunit ribosomal RNA". The record is from RNAcentral. Lineage: Eukaryota; Metazoa; Arthropoda; Insecta; Blattodea; Corydiidae.